RNA transcript from Dunckerocampus dactyliophorus (ringed pipefish), 5238 nucleotides. It is a transcript of the gene named actin related protein 2/3 complex inhibitor, with no coding region annotated. The transcript has 7 exons. Lineage: Eukaryota; Metazoa; Chordata; Actinopteri; Syngnathiformes; Syngnathidae. The record is from RefSeq and is a predicted model, not a curated record.
AUGGAUUUUUGACAGCUCUACUUUGUCAAAAUGUACUCGGAAACUAAGUAUACACAGCACACAGUAUACAUAAUGACGCGUACUGGCGAAAGUAUUCCAUUAGAGACACGGCAAUUGUCUCUGCUGUCUUACCUACGGUGUACCGUCUUCGCACGGUGUCGAAAUCGAGCGCGCCUUCCGUGGGCGGAAGUGGAAGUCUGUUUCCGUAAACACACAGAAGGAAAAUUUGGGAAUAGUUUUGCAAUAUGAGCCGAAUCUAUCACAACACUUGUUUGCGAAACAAAGCUGUACACAAUGAGACAUUUGACAAGGCCUGGUCGCCAUCGUCGUUUGAACGUGGCCAAGGAGUGCUUGUUGAAGGAACACUGGUUGAUCUUUCCAGACACGUGCUGACUGAUGUCAACAAUAAGAAGGUUCGCUACAACGUGCUGUACAUCAAACCUAAACGCAUCCAUCACAGGAAGUUUGACGCCAGGGGCAAGGAGGUGGAGCCUAACUUUAGUGACACCAGAAAGGUCAACACAGGCUUCCUCUUGUCUUCGUACAAGGUGGAAGCUAGGGGGGAGUCGGACGUUCUGUCUGAGCAGCAGCUGUCAGCAAUCAUACGGAAAGACGAGCUGGUGAAGAUAACCGACAAGCACAGACCCAGCGGGACGUGGGCCUUCUGGUACCCUGAGUCUGAAAUGGACAAAACGGAGCUGGAUGCUGAAGCAGACAUUCGACUGAAGACCAGAGGAAACAGUCCAUUCAUAUCCUCCUUAGCUCGAGUGGACAGUGGCACAGUGACCAAGUGUAACUUUGCUGGAGACCAGGAGGUUGGGGCAUCGUGGACAGACAAGAUUAUGGCCAACAAAGCUGGAGCGGCCAGCGCACACCAGCCUGGAGGCGAGAGGGAAGGAGCUGAGGAGGAUGAAUGGGAUGACUGAAGAAAAGGCAUUUCCCCAUCUUUGGAACUGAUGUGCUUGAACUGUACUUCUUAGGUGCCACAAAAGCUCUUGCAUACAUUUGUAGCCCAUGGCACAUUCUAAAAAUAUUUAACAAAAAAAAAACCCAAAAACAGUGAAAAUGAAAAAAUCUAGCCAAAAUCAAAAAUGAAAAGCUAUAACGAGAGAAAAGUUGUCAUCUAACAAUAAAAAAUAUCAUUUUAGUAGCAUAGAAAAAAUACUGUACAAAAAAAAAAGUCAUACUAAGUUCAUGUCUACUAUAUUGGGUAAAAAGAGUGUAAAGGUGACUAAAGGGGUGUGAUUUCAUUUCUAGAGGGCUGAUAAUGUUAAAAACUGUAUUUAAAAGGUCGUAAACAGGUUUUCGAUGCCUUAUAUGUCUUAUUUUCUCUUAUUAUGUCUAUUAUAUUGGGUAAUAGGAGUGUAAAGGUGACUAUAGGGUUGUUAUUACAUGUUUAGAGGGCUCUAAUAAUGUUAAAAACUGUAUAUAAAAGGUCAUAAACAGGUUUCCUAUGACUUAUAUGUCUUAUUUUCUCUUAUUGUGUCUACCAUAUCGGGUAAUAGGACUUGACAGGUGACUAUAGGGGUGUUAUGUCAUUUCUAGAGGGCUCUAGAAAAGUGUUGAAAGCUGUUGAAAAGCGUAUUUACAAGGUGGUAAACAGGUUUUCUAUGUUUUAUUUUCUCUUAUUAUGUCUACUAUCUUGGGUAAUAGGAGUGUAAAGGUGACUAUAGGGGUGUUAUGUCAUGUCUAGAGGGCUCUAAUCAUGUUGAGAAGCAUAUUUACAAGGUGGUAAACAGGUUUCGUAUGAAAUUCACUUACCACGGUAGGGUGUGGAUCCAAAGAAGGGCCAUAAACGAGGGAUGGUUGUACUGUAUAUGAUAUUGGGCACCACAGGUUAAUAGAAGUACUGCUAGAUGGAAAUGAUUGAAUUGAAGUGAAUGGGCAAAGCCAUUUAUUUAUUGUAUUGGAUCCUUUAGCAUAGAAAUACAUUCACAUUGACUGUACAAGUCAGUGGUUGUGUGACAAUAGUACAUCAUCAAAUGAUAAUACUAAUAAUAAUAAUCAGAAGUAGCUGGCACGUUCCAUGCAAUAUGACACACCAAUUGUAUCAUUUUAUUUCCAAGACUGAACGUUGUGGACUCUAUCAGCCACACACACACACACGCACACACACACACACACACACACACAUAAUAAUUUAACAACACAUACUGUAUAAAACAUGACGAAUGACUAACAUUGUGUUCUUUGGCUCUUCCAAACGUUCAUGGCAGCAUCAGUGUCUUUUUUUAAUCCUGCAGUGCUUGUAGUAGAAAUACAGUAAAUACAUCAUGAAUAGAAUGGGAUUAUUACACAAUAUUCAGCUCAGAAAUCAUUGAGGCUUUUAGAAAAAGUCACGUCAUGCUGCUGUGUGAUUGUGGAAACAACUAUCAGGCCCAACGCCUUUCAAACCAGUCCAGUACCGUCUCCUUGUUGUCCGCCACCCACUGGAUGUUGACUUUGGUUCGCUCUAUGGCCCGCUCCACCGCCCCAGCACAAGGACCCACAUCAUACUUGGAGGCAAAGUUCUCCAACUGUACACACAGCACACCUUUAUCAUUAUUUACCACUACUUUUUCAUCUUAAACCCCCAUUUACACGCUGCAUUUUUAACAGCACAAUGUCUUUUUCAUUCCUUUCUCACGUGCACUAAUCGUACACUAUUCUUUGAUUCCAGACUUGACUGUGAUAAGCCAAAGUACCAUUCCUUAUUUAUAAAUGGAAUAUUUUCAUACUUGGAGCAUAGAAAACCUGUUUAACACCUUCUAAAUAUGCUUUAUAACAUGAUUAGAGCCCUCUAGACAUGAAAUAACACCCCUAUAGCCACCUUUACACUCCUCUCACCCAAUAUAGUAUAAAUAAUAAGAGAAAAUAAGACAUAUAAGAAAUUACCUCCUCAAGUUCAAAUGGUGUGGAGAACCUCCUUGUCACUCCGUCAAUCAGCUUGGCUCCAUCUCUGCUGACAAAAUAUUGGAAAACAUUUGGAAUGUUGAAAAGAUAUAUAUAUGAUAGUAAUUAUGAAAUAAUGUAAUGAUAUAUAUGAUAUAUUUCCAUUCUAGAUGAGAAGACCUGUGAGUACGACAUAUUUGUACGACAUAUUUUGAGCACAUUUACAGCUUCUUUCAAACACACACAUUAUAUCAGCGGUGUCCAAAGUGUGGGCCAGGGGCCAUUUGGAGCCCGUGGCACAACAACAAAAAAAAACAGCCAAAAUUGAAAAAUCAGCAGUCAUUUUACAAGAAUAAAGUCAAAAUAAUAACAGGAAAAAAAGUUGUAAUGUAAUGAGAAAAUUUUAGAAGAAUAACAUACGGUAAUAUUAUGAGGAACAAUAACGUCAUUUUAGUAUCAUAAUGUUGACAUAUUCCAGAAAAAUACAAAUAAAUUUUUUGUUGUAUUUUCUGGAAAAUUAGGUUGCGGAAAAAGUUACAAUGUUACGACAAAGUCUAAAUAUUAUGGCAAUUACCAGAAAAAAGUUUAAAUAGUGGGGAAAAAAGAGCAAAAAUAGAAAAAAAAAACAGCUGUAGUUUUAUCAGAAUACAACAACAUACUGUAUAUUAAGAGAAAAAAAUCUUUAAUCUUUCAAGGGGGAAAAAAAAAUCGAAAUGUUUUGAGAGUAAAUGUGUAAUAUGAUGGAAAAUAAUGCCUUUUGAGUACAAUACAGUAAUGUUGAAAUAGUAAAGAAAACAUGUUAUGCUUGUAAAAGUUGUAAUAUUAUGGGAAUAAAGUCAUAAUAUUAAGAAAGGAAAAUUAAGAUGAAGGUGGAAAUAUUCAAAAAAUGUAAAAAAAAAACAACCAAUAACAACAAAAAACAGCGUUAAUUUCACCAGAAAUAUGUCAAAAUAUUAAGAGAAAAAAAAUUAAAUUCAAUUUUAUGAGAAUGAAUUUGUAAUAUGAGGAAAAAUAAUGCCAUUUUAGUAGCAUAAUGUUGAAAUAUUAAAGAAAAUGUUAUUUUUUUGUUGUAAUUUCUGGGAAAUUUGCUUAUGGAAAAGUUAUAAUGUUCUGAGAAUAAAGUCAAAAUAUUAUGGCAAUAAAGUCAUAAUUAUGAGAAGAAAAUGUAAAAGAAAAAAGUUGAAAUAGCUGGAAAAAAAAAACACAUCAGCAGUUAUGAAAAAAAACUGAUGUCAUUUGACCUGAAUAAAGUCAAAAUGUUAAGAGAAAAAAGUUCAGUUUUAACGAGAGAGAAAAAAAUCACAGUUUUGUCAUUUUAAUAGCAAUAUUAAAGAAAAAAUAUGUUAUCUUUUGGAGAGUUUUUUUCAAAUCUUUUUAAAACAAACAAAACAAAGUUGUCAUUUUUGUAAAAUGAGGUUCUGAAAAGGAAAAGAGUGAAGUUGAUAGGAAUAAUAUGCUUUUUCACCUAUAUGACAAAGCUGAGAUGAAAUAUAUAGCAUAUCUACACAAAACAUGAAAGUGGCCAAGUUGCAUCCUUUCAUUUGUCACUACGUGGCCCUUGCUGGCUGGAGGAAAAAUGAUUGGCUUAAAAAAAUAAAACCUACUUCCUGGUAAUGCAAACAAGCCUUUAUGAGGAGAAACUCUGAUAAGCACUGAUUAAAUGUGAUGACCUUUGUCCUGAAUGACGCACUACAAGUUGAAUAAGCUAUUGGGAACAACGAGAGAAGGAAAACGACGGACGUUUACUAACCCCUGACUGAUGUAGUCCCAGUGGGCUCUUAGAAAGUUCCAGGCCAGCCCGUGUCCCACCACAUUCCUGGCAAUGAAGUUAAUAGUAGAAGUGACAUCCAUCAGUCGUACCUUCUCAGGGUCCAAAGUGUACUGCAGGUAUCUGCAAGAUAAGGAUUGACCUCAUCGGAGGCGUGUUCCUGAUAGCGCAAAGCUGAUAUGAUGAUACAUCAUGUGUCCCGGGUGUGCUGCUUUGUUUGCAUCACCUGCUGAGAAGCCAUAUUUUCCUGGUGCACGACAGUGCCUGACGAAGCUGCUCUUUCUCUGAGCUUUCCCUGGUGCUCUGGAACUUGUUCCAAGCAAACUCCCACUCUUUCUCCCCCCCGGCAGCCACAGCCUGGCAGUAGAUGACCGAUCUCAGGUUGGGGUGGAUCCUGUGUCACGCAGGCGAGCAGAUACCUUCUUAUUGGCCACUUCAACUCGACAUAAGCACCCGUCCACAUAAACUAGACAUACUGUGCGCUUCUGUGACAUCAGCACACAUCUGCCUUUGCAAAGACACACCAGCGAUAGUGAUGACCCUAACAAUACCCUUUUUUAUGUGGAUAAUCCAUGUCAUUUUAGGGUUAGAGCUUAGUG